GUGAAUCAUCGAAUUUUUGAACGCAUAUUGCACUCCCUGGUAUUCCGGAGAGCACGCCUGUUUGAGCGUCGGUUUAAAUACAUAUCGGUGUGGUUGCUGCCUUUCGUGGUACCGCACGGGAUUUGGGUCGUCUUGCCGUCGGUUAAGUGACCUCUAAUGUUGCAUGAUUUUUUCGAACGUAUUUAAAUGAUUUUAGGUGCGCUUGCGAUAUCGAAUUCUAG
Molecule: unclassified non-coding RNA, 221 nt
Filed under: Glomeraceae sp.
Lineage: Eukaryota; Fungi; Glomeromycota; Glomeromycetes; Glomerales; Glomeraceae
Description: partial contains 5.8S ribosomal RNA and internal transcribed spacer 2
Rfam family: 5.8S ribosomal RNA (bases 1-71)
Source: RNAcentral